AUCUCUUUGCCUUUUGGCUUAGAUCAAGUGUAGUAUCUGUUCUUUUCAGUGUAACAGCUGAAAUGUCAUAUCAUAUAUGGCUUUUAAAUGUUACUUUAUUUUUGGUUCUGGGACAUUGGAAAUUUCCUUCUUGAAGGAAGUAUCUGGUGGGUGAUCUGCACCUUGAUAGGCUUGCCUAUU
This is a small nuclear RNA of 180 nucleotides. It matches the Rfam family "U2 spliceosomal RNA". Rfam says of the family: U2 is a small nuclear RNA (snRNA) component of the spliceosome (involved in pre-mRNA splicing). The record is from Rfam.